AUUGGACGCUGGCGGCAUGCCUUACACAUGCAAGUCGAACGGCAGCACGGGUGCUUGCACCUGGUGGCGAGUGGCGAACGGGUGAGUAAUACAUCGGAACGUACCUUAUCGUGGGGGAUAACGCAGCGAAAGCUGUGCUAAUACCGCAUACGCCCUGAGGGGGAAAGCGGGGGAUCGAAAGACCUCGCGCGAUUAGAGCGGCCGAUGCCUGAUUAGCUUGUUGGUGGGGUAAAGGCCCACCAAGGCGACGAUCAGUAGCUGGUCUGAGAGGACGAUCAGCCACACUGGGACUGAGACACGGCCCAGACUCCUACGGGAGGCAGCAGUGGGGAAUUUUGGACAAUGGGGGCAACCCUGAUCCAGCAGUGCCGCGUGAGUGAAGAAGGCCUUCGGGUUGUAAAGCUCUUUUGUCAGGGAAGAAACACCGGCUCUAACACAGUCCGGGAAUGACGGUACCUGAAGAAUAAGCACCGGCUAACUACGUGCCAGCCGCCGCGGUAA
Molecule: ribosomal RNA, 501 nt
Filed under: uncultured bacterium
Lineage: Bacteria
Description: partial 16S ribosomal RNA
Rfam family: Bacterial small subunit ribosomal RNA
Source: RNAcentral